AUGGAAAAGGUUUGGAAGACUGGACAACAGGAGACAUCUUUGCACUCACAACAGAAGGGUCUAUCAAUCGAGACUAUCACGUGAAGCCGCGUGUAAACAGAUCAAGUAUGGAUUCGUGACUACGCCGUUAGAAUAGAUAGAUGGUGUGUAAAUAUUAUGAAGAUGUUUUUUUAAUUUAGAUGUUAAAGGCUUACUAACAGUAUAGGUACUACUACUAGACUUGCAUUGGAUACAAUGGUUACUGGUGAAAAUAAUUAGCUGGUAAUGCCAAGUUCAUACUCUCGAAGUUCACUUGCUGACGGUACAUAUCCAGGAGCUUAGCCUUGCUAUGAUCUGGCGGGGGAAAAUUGAUGAUUUGGGACCUACUCUGUGACAGUUUUCAAUAUUGACAGAUGUUAAUCUGGAAUGACAUUUUCCAAGACUUGCAAGAAUGAAUGAAGAAAUGAGUCUGCAGUAUGAACAGUAUCUCCACUGCUCUCGUUGUUGGCAGAUUUCUGUUGUCGGGUGAAACUAGCCGUACAGCUCAAAAUAAAAUGACGUCACAGCAGUGAUAAUUGUAUGUUUUGUUGUUUUUUCACACAGAGUCGACACCAGUUCGUUUAUUACAAUCCCAGAAAAACAAAUUUCCUCGCUCGAUCAACAAGUAAACCCACUCUUAUCAACUGAUAUGUUUAAUACUACAGGGGAUUGUACAUUUAUGUAGAUAUACUUAUUUUACUAAGAGCUCCGAUAACUGUGUCUACCUGCCUGUCGCCAUUUUGAUGUUUCGGAGGCUGGUAUCAGCCUUGACAUUAUUGCGAAUAUCCCUUUCUUUAGGACUCCACCGUGGGCUUUAUCUCUCAAUCUCUAUUUAGAGAGAUGAGAUCUAAGUAUGGUGAUUAUGCUCAUAUUUACACAGAUGGUUCUAAGGAUGGUGAUCGGGUAACUUAGGCUACCGUGACGCCAUCUGAGACCAUUUCUGUGUGUCUUCCACCUGCUGCUUCAAUAUUUACAGCAGAGCUCCAGGUCAUUCUCCAGGCCUUGGAGUUCAUUCAAUCAUCGCAUCUACUACAGUACAUCAUUUUUACCGAUUCUCUGUCCUCGCUGCAAGCAAUAAACAAUAAACAGCCUGAACACCCAUUAGUAGCAGAUUUUUAUUGUCUGCUACUAUCUUACGAGUUAACAGCAAAGACAUCGUCUUUUGCUGGCUCCCCAGUCACGUUGAUCUAAGGGGGGAUGAUCAUGCAGAUUUUGCUGCCAAAGCUGCUUUAUAUCUCCCCCAAUCACCCUUUUUAAUACCAUAUAAGGAUUUGAAGCUCCAACAAACAAUUUCAUAUAUGGCCGUUGGCAACGAUCUCGGGAUCUUGCAGGCACUAACAAACUUCAUCAUAUUAAGCCUCUCUUGGGAGAUUGGCCAAACUGCUAAAGAACCAACAGGAGAGAUGAGGUUGUUUUGUGUCGCUCUCGUAUAGGUCAAACAUUUUUAACUCACAUUUUCAUCUUAAAGCGAGUGCAAGUUUCUUAAGGACAUCAGAUCGGAGCAUUACCGUUGCCAAUCGUUAAAUCAAUUAUUUGCCCAACCGUGUCUAUACUAGACUUUUUAAAGGAGACAAAUGUUUAUAAUAUUUUUAAUUCUAAAUAUAUAUACUAUUCAAAAAAAGUAGGGGAUAUUUGAUUUUUAAGUGUUAUUAAAGUCACCUAAUGAAACUGACGAAGAAACAAAUGACAAAAUGAAAUGAAGUUCACAUUCAUCGAUUUAUUCCAAAUGAUCGUUAGACUAAGUAAGGCACAGACUGACCAUUAUAAGGGUAAAAUGAUACCCGGGGUCAAACAGCAAAGUUACCACAGCAUCACAACCAAGUCAGUAACGGGUAAAUCCUCCUCUGUUUGCCAAACAAGCAUUUAUCCGACGUGGCAUACUCCUAAUGAGACCUCUAAGGUCAUUUUGGUCCAGAUUGUCCCAUUCCUGUUGCAACGCAGCAGCAAGUUCUUGGACAUUGGCAGGACGUUGUUGACGUUGACGUAACCUCUGUCCAAGCAUGUCCCAGACAUGCUCGAUGGGGGAGAGGUCGGGACUCAGUGCCUCCCCACACCAUAACAGAACCACCCCCAAAUCGAUCAUGUCUGAUGACGUUAACGUCUUGGAAGCGCUCGUUUCGACGACGCCACACCCUCCUACGUCUGUCCAAAAAAUCAACAGUGAACCUUGACUCAUCUGAAAACAUCACAUUGCUCCAGCGUCGAUUAUCCCAGUGUUGACGAUCCCUACACCAACGACGUCUUGCCUGAAUGUGAUGAUCUCUCAAACAAGGGAUCACGCGAGGACGUCGAGCGCGAAGGUGACCCCUAUGCAGUCGAUUCCGAAUCGUCUGGCCACUCACUCUCACACCAGUGUCUGUUUGAAGACGAGCGCUGAUCUGAUUUGCUGUGAUGACACGAUUUCUCAAGGCCAAGGUACGGAUAAAUCGAUCCUGGGCUUGAGUUGUCGCCCUUGGUCGACCUGAGCGUGGUCUGUCCUGUACAGAUUGUGUAUCACGGUAUCUGGACCAUAGCCUGCUUAUGACAGACUGAGAAACAUUCAUCGUCCGCGCCACAACCGCCUGUGUUGUGCCGAUCUGUAGCAUGCCAAGGGCACGUAACCUUUCAUUUUGGGUAAGCCGACGCAUAUCAAAAUUUGUUUUCUGGUCACUAAAACAAUUAAACUGAUGUUUCCACCCUGGAAUUCAAUGCCACAAUGACUGUAACAUUCAAAGUCAGAGUCGUGCAAAUCUUGGGUUGGACCCCCAUGAUGAUCCCAAGCAUCAACUGCAUUCCACGCGGUAGCUAUUGGUGCGUUUGGGCGUCACAUGUAACUGGAAAUGUUUCUUCUGUUAGGUUCUAUAGUGACUUUUUUCGUAGUCAUUUGCAUAUUUUAGUAUUAUGCCCCCAAAAUCAAAUAUCCCCUACUUUUUUUGAAUAGUAUAUAUAUCAUCUUAUUUUUCAUUUUUCAAUAUUAGUGUACAUGAAGUUGUGAUUUUUAUUUUUAUUUGUUUAAUAUACUGUGACAUUUGCUUUUAUUUGUGUACAUGAAUUCUUUGUAUUUCUCCAAGCGUUUUAGAUUAAUAUAUUACAAUUUAUAUCGAUUUCUUGUAAUUUUAUGACUUAAUAAUUCUAUAUAUAUAUUUGAUUUUCGAAAUCACGAGGCAAAUUUAACUAAACACCAGCUGUGUAGCACGUGACUGUUCAACGCAUUGAACCAAAUAUGUCGUCUGCUACAGGCCACUAAACAAAAACCAUCGGUUGCAUCAAUAGCCAAGCGGUCAAACAACUGGACCUAAAAUAGACAUAUUAUUUAUAUUUUCAUAGCAACAGACGUUCAAGCAAUAAUCACCAAGUGCCCACAAAAGAUCAAAAUAUCCAUUUCAAACAAUAGAAAUAAACACCCACGGACACAAUAGAGCAAAGACACUUCACAUAAUAGAAAACAAUUAUCAUAAAAUGCCCUAAAUAGAAACACAGACGAAAGAAAUAAAGUAGCCUCACAACUACUGUUGUCUUUGUCAGGCCCUCCGUCCUGCAUCACUGACAAGGGAAAAGAAAAACGAUCAAAGUCGGGUGGGAAUAUUUAAAGUAAUCAUACAUGUACCUAUCUUAAUACGAAUUCUAGAUAUCAUGUUACGUAUCACUAAAGAACUGGGCCCUGUUUCACGAAAUUUUAACUAAGAUAAAAUCCAAAUUUUAGUAGAUACUUCAAUUUUGAUUGGCUAAGCACUAAAAUCAAUCUAAUAUUAUCCAAUCAAAUUACUAAAAUUUGGAUUUUAUCUUAGUUAAAAUUUCGUGAAACAGGCCCCAGGUUCAUGUUUCUUUUCAAUUAUUUAAAUAAUUUUCUGGCAUUUCGGCGCAGAACAGUAGGACGUUAAACCCCAUUUCAUUUCAUUUCAUUUCAUUUACGUGCACGAUAAAGUAUACACAGGACAUCGGUUUUUCGUCACAUCCAAACGACUAGACAGCUGUCCUUGUCAGGCCCUCUUUCCUGCACCACUGACAAGGUGAAACCACGUGGAAAAACAACGAUAUACUUUCUCGGCCAAUGCAAGGAUCGAAUACGCGACCUACAGGCCAUCCUCGGUUACCCAGUGUACUCAUUCCGUUCUACUCCACUAUACCCUGGCUUAAUCCAUAGGGUUUUCACGAUUUCAAAUUAUCUGCCCUGGCCUAGAAUAUAGCUACAGUCUUCGAACCAAUCAGAAAACAGUUUACAAACCAAUCGUUCCGCCUUCCUUUUAUAAGGGUAGAUAACCAUAUUCAUGUCCAUUUACUGAAUGAUUUAUGUAA
This is a long non-coding RNA of Patella vulgata (common limpet), 4293 nucleotides long. RefSeq lists it as uncharacterized. The transcript has 5 exons. Lineage: Eukaryota; Metazoa; Mollusca; Gastropoda; Patellidae. The record is from RefSeq and is a predicted model, not a curated record.